CAAAGGAGCAAUCCGCUGAAAGAUGGGCUCGCGUCCGAUUAGGUAGUUGGCGGGGCAACGGCCCACCAAGCCGACGAUCGGUAGCCGGACUGAGAGGUUGAACGGCCACAUUGGGACUGAGACACGGCCCAGGCUCCUACGGGAGGCAGCAGUGAGGGAUAUUGGUCAAUGGGGGAAACCCUGAACCAGCAACGCCGCGUGAGGGAAGACGGUUUUCGGAUUGUAAACCUCUGUCCUCUGUGAAGAUGAUGACGGUAGCAGAGGAGGAAGCUCCGGCUAACUACGUGCCAGCAGCCGCGGUAAUACGUAGGGAGCAAGCGUUGUCCGGAUUUACUGGGUGUAAAGGGUGCGUAGGCGGCUUUGCAAGUCAGAAGUGAAAUCCAUGGGCUUAACCCAUGAACUGCUUUUGAAACUGCAGAGCUUGAGUGGAGUAGAGGUAGGCGGAAUUCCCGGUGUAGCGGUGAAAUGCGUAGAGAUCGGGAGGAACACCAGUGGCGAAGGCGGCCUGCUGGGCUCUAACUGACGCUGAGGCACGAAAGCGUGGGUAGCAAACAGGAUUAGAUACCCUGGUAGUCCACGCUGUAAACGAUGAUUACUAGGUGUGGGUGGACUGACCCCAUCC
This 622-nucleotide ribosomal RNA is filed under the name uncultured bacterium. RNAcentral's name for it is "bacterial SSU rRNA". It matches the Rfam family "Bacterial small subunit ribosomal RNA", at positions 202 to 842 of the family's 1533-position model. The record is from RNAcentral.